Molecule: long non-coding RNA, 7887 nt
Filed under: Gossypium raimondii (Peruvian cotton)
Lineage: Eukaryota; Viridiplantae; Streptophyta; Magnoliopsida; Malvales; Malvaceae
Description: long non-coding RNA (GRAI_LNC004554)
Source: RNAcentral
AAUAUGUUUCUUAUUUAUUUAUUUUCUUAUCCAAGUCAAAAGAUUUUAAAGGAAACGUUAUUAAAUACAAUAGGUUCUCAAAAGCAGUAUAAGACAUUGCAACUUAAAUAUUUGUUAAAAAAAACUUAAUCAUGGCGUAGAGUACCAUUCGUCAUAUUUUCAAGAGUGCCCUUCUAUAUGGUUAAUAUUGCUCUUUAAAUUGCCACAUUAGUGUAUUCCUAGCUUGGUCCCUCCUAGCGCACUAAAUCAAUUUCAAGAACCUGCAUUACAAAUAAACAUCUGUAAGUUAAACGGAACUUAGUGAGUCUCAACCAAUAUUACCUUUAAACAAUGUUGUUGAAUUCCUUGACUAAAGGAUUUUGGACUUCCUUUUAGACUUUGGUGGAUACUUUUCUAAUUCUUGGCUGAUCACUAUACGCCAAUCUUUACACUUUAUGCAUAUUCUGCUCGAUUGGCAUAUCACAAAAUUCACACCUAAUUGCGGAUCCUAUUUCACAAUCUCUUUGAAGAUAAAAGUUAGAUACAUUUAUUAUAAUGAUAUACAUACAUAUACUACUCUUGGCGGAUUCUUAUACUAAGUUUAGCGACUGCUACUAUUCCAAUCACACCAUAUGUUUAAGUUAAUUCAAAUAAUGUACUUAUUUUGAUGAAUAAAAUGUUUUAUAUCAUCCAAUAGAGUCUCAGAUGACUUCGAUACAUAACGUGAGAAUUCCCAAGUUUGGCGGACAUUUACACUACCCAUAAUUACGGAUAUGUCAAACUCUUUGUCCAGGUGGGUUACUAUGGUAGAUUCUCUAUCAAAAACUCUUUUAGAAAAUUUAACAGCCCACCCGGCGUGGGUCAUACCGAUAUGCCGUUGGCAUAUAAUUGAGUAAGUCAGGGUAGAAAAAGGAUGAAAUAUCCGUUAAAUGUUUAGAUGGCGUAUUGCGUGAAAUUGACAGUACGCCCUUUUGGGGGAACACCUUGUUAAAAUUUUCUAUUUGACGAACUCUAGGGUUUGGAGGACUCUUUUAUGAGACGAUCUGCCAGCCCUAGAUGUUCUGGGUGAAUUGGUUAGUUCGAUGAAUAUCAUUAGAGUUUAGUUGAGACCUAGUUGGAAUUAAACUAAAAUAUUGUAGAUGAUAGCUUGAUAUGUUUAGGUAGCUGAAUGACUUGUUUAGUUGGUUGCUUAAGUGUACAAGCAAUGUUUUACCACUCUGAUUAGUGGUAGUAGUUAUGUUUGGUAAAAUAUUAGACUUCAAAUUUUGUUAGACAAGUUUAGUCUCAAUUUUCAAGGGUGAUAAUGGGAUGUCUGACCUUCUCACUAAGUUUAAUUUUCGAUGUUUGUUCUAUAAAAGAGUGCCUAUAACCAGUAUGUCUCACCUUUGUUUUCUCUCUGUGUUCUUCCCUACGUCUUUAAGAAUUUUUAAGUUAUCUUAGUUAAAGAGAUGAUGAAGGUUUCCAAAUGCUUGUCAAAAUGUCAUUGAUAAGUAACAGCUAAUUGGUAAUUUUCUAAGAAACCCUUAAGGUGAUGAUGAGGAGAUUUAAGUAUUUGCAUUAGUGCAUGCAUGAUCAAAUUUUAAUAAAUAAAUGGUUUGAUAGUUAUGAUUGUUUCUUAUUUAGCUCAAGAAGCUAGUGAAGGUUCGUGCAAUCGAGGUAAAUGACCAGUAAGUAGAUUAUGUCCUGAAGUUUCUGGUAAGUUCCUUUUUACUUCAUUUGAGUUACGAAAAUUUUAUAAUUUGUGAGUUGUGUAAGGUAAGUUAUUUUAAUCGAAAAUGGGUCGAUGUGUUGUGAAUCAACGUGUUAGUAAUAAAGCAGUGUUGUAUGUGUGAGCAUGACCAUGGUCAAGGUAAAAAUAACUACCUUGUGUGAGAGCCCAUUACUUGAUUAUUUGUGACAUGUGAAAAUAUAAAAAAAAAAGCUUUAUUUGUGAUGCCUCUGUCGAAGUCAACAAAAAGAUAUCUCUAGGCCCAAGCAGAUUCCCACAUUGCCUUUACAUCCAGAAUUCGUUUAUAUCACCUUUCUAGUGUUUAUGUUUUGCCUGGAUCAUUCGUUUCGCUGUUUCAUACCGUGUAAUUUAACUAUCUACAGUGUUUAGAAAGGAGUGUGUGAGUUCUUGCGAACUCAAUGAUUUAUAAGAAAGAAUAACCACAUAACACGUACAAAACAUAAGUUAAACAAAAGCUUUGGAAAAGUCAUUGAACUAUGAAUUGGGUUCGCCAUACUUACACGAAGUCUGGUUCAUAAUUAUUCACUGUCAGUUAGCUUAAAAUAACAAAUCAUAAUAUUUUAGAAAACACAAUCUUAUUAACGUGUACUUUACUGUUGGAUAAAUGGAUCUCCUUAUUACCCUUCAUUUGACUCAAAGAGUCUAACAUGUCCCAUAAGUGUAUCUUAAAGCUAAACACUCUCUAACACACCAACAUGUCCCAUUGAAUGGAGCUUAGCUCGACAUUUCCUUAUCUCUCCAACCUGUCAUAGGGUCUUUCGCCCAAAUCACAAAACAUAAAGGUGAGUACUAACAUUCCUAUGGCAUGCCAUUAUAUCCAACGGUUUCAGAAGAUUAUAGUGUCAAAACAUAUACUUAAAACAUAGAGCUCGCAAAUUAUGAGGAGCUUGUAGAGCAUUAUUUGAGCUCGCAAUAUAGAGCUUGCAUAUCACUGUUCAUAAAAACACAUAUAUAAUCACACAAAAAAGUAUAGAAAAGACUUACUCUCGAAACUUAGGAUAAAACUCUAAGCCCCUAGUUCACAUUAUGGUUCAUACAUACAUGUGGCGAUCCCUAAACACUCACCAAUUUGCUGAAAGCUCUAAACAAGCUUCGCUUUUUCCUUGUUUUUGCUUGUAGACAGUUCUAUUAGUUUCAUAAUUUCACAAACACACACAAGUCACUAACAGUCAAAGCACAUUGAAAACUCAUACAAAAACACAAGCGUACCUAGGUUAGCAAAUGCUAGUUUUUUGACAAACUUAAUCACUUUUAUUGCGAACCUUCUUAAGAGUUCUAAAGAAACAGAGUCUUACCUUAAGUUCUAAGAGUUAAGUUUUGGGUUCUUAUUUUCUUAUUUUCUUAAGUUCUAAGAAUAUGAAUUUUCGAUAGAAAGGGCUUAAUUUAUAAGUACUAAGUGUUUUGAUAUUCUUAGGAUACCCUAGUCGCAGUAGAAGUAGGAAAGAGUUACGUGCAUGAAUGGUGUUACGAAGAGGAAAGUAAGUUGACUUCUUAAUUUUGGUAUAAUUACCCUUUGACUACUUCUACUUUUGACUCUCAACUCAAAACAGUGAUCAUAGCUUGCCAAGUCUACUGGCGACUGCAACUUCAUCAAGCCCACUAGUGAUUAUAGUUCGCUAAAUCUACUAGUAACCUUUGUUUGCAGGCCUUUUGGCGAAUCCCAACUCGUCAAGCCUUAAACUCUUAGGUCCUAUUCUAAGAUGUUACACUUCCUUUGUGUCCUCGUUCUUCACAUUAGAUGAAGAGAACAAACAAACCUCUUUCAUAUGUCUAUAUCUACCGUAAUGGAAACAAGAUGUUUGGUAGAGAUUCAUACUCUACUCUUUUGGAUCUUAUCUGCAAUCAGGUUAAAAACCAAAGGAUUAUUCAAGUCAAUACAAACAACCCAUUCGAGCAAAGCGACCUCUUGCUCCACUAGCCAUAUUAUAGUCAAUUUUAAUCACCUUUCGUAUCAUAUCUCCAAUCAUGCUUAUGGAACUCUUUCCGUACAUGGUCGUAGAUAAAUCGGGCUAUUUCAUGCCAUAACAUUACCUAAAUAUAGUUGGGUGGCUGUGAAGGAAGUUGUCCAUAGUUGUACCAUUAAAUACUUUCUAAACACUACCUAAGGCCCCUUAGCUAGAACCUUUAUAUAACCUUCCUUUAAUUUGAAUGUGACCAUGUAGUAAUCAUUCUCCAAAUACAUUAACUAAAGUGCCUUUGUUGGUUAACAUAAGGAAAAUGUUUUAUUCAAUUCAACAUUAAACCCAAUCAUUUGACCCAAUAGUUUAAGGAAAACUAUCUUCGACAUGAUUUGUUCCAUCAAAAGAUUAACCCUCUGCGAGAACUUAAUUGAAGGAAUCUCAUAAAUAAUGCAAUUUUCAACCUCCUUCCGAAAGUUCGAUGUUGUCAUCUUCCCAAGUUUCCUCUUUCUCUUUGAAUUUGUUGUGAUAUUUAGUAGCUUAUCAUGAAAAGAAACCUGAUAUUCCUCUUGAGCAUCAACGGUCAUCCCCUUCUUAUCAAAUGGGUCCUCAUAAUGCAAAUGAACUUUGUUAGAAGCCUUAGCACUAAUCCUAGGAAUUGAUGGAUCACCAAGGUUGUCGUGUUCCUCGAUUGAAAUCUCCAUCUCUUGGUUGUGAUUAAAAUUUUUAAUUCGUCUUGCCCAAUUUUUUAUUACAAAAUAAUUAGAAUAUAAUAAGUCUUAGAUUUUUUAGUUACUAUUAAAUUAAAGAGUUAAUUGCACCAAACACCCUUAAAUUAUAACCCUCAUCCUAAAUUGGUCCCUAAGCUUUUAAAAUGUUCUAAUUACAUCCUCAAACUAUAGAUGUCAUACCAAUUAAGACCUUCCAUGAUUGAAACUGUUGAUUUAACUAUUGAAUGUCACAUAAAAUCUUAUAUGGCAUAAUUUAAAAUAAAAAUUUUAAAGAAAAGUAAAAUGUUAUCGCAUAAAUUUUAAAAUUAAAAACUAAAAAUAAAGUAAAAUUGAACAAAAUAGAGAGUAGAUGAUAGUUUCUAUAAAAACUUCGAAAACCUCAAAAUCAAGAUUUUUACAACAUUCAUUUUUACAAUAUUCAUUUUUGUUUUAAUUUUUUCAUUUUAAAUUAUGUCGCAUAAGAUUUGAUGUAUCAUUUAACAAUUAAAUUAAUAAUUUUAGUAGCGAAAGGAUCUUAUUGAUAUAAAUUCGACAAUUUGAAGAUGUAAUUAGAAUAUUUUAAAGUUUGAAGACUAAUUUAGAACUAAGGUCAUAUUUUGAAGAUGUUUCGUGCAAUUAACUGUAAAUUAAAUUAUAGUUAAGUUGUAUUUUAAUUCAAUUAGAUGUAAAGAUUUUAAACUUAUUUUAAUUCAAUUAUAUAUAUUGUUUUUAAAUAAAUUUGUUAAUUCAUUUUUAAUUAAAUUAGUUAAUUACCAUUAUUUAAAACCUUUAAUGAUACGAAAAUUUGUUAAGAAAGAAAAAAAAGAGUAAAGAAAUAAGAAUAAAAAAGUACAUAAUUAUCUUCCACAGGAUUUUAUUAAAAAGAAACAUUUAUCUAGUACGUUAAUAGGGGAGAUUUUUAACUCGUGAAAUUUUAAAAAAUAUCAUGUAUCCCAUUUUAUUUUUUUAAAACUUUUUAUUGUCAAACUCACCACUCCGUUGUUAAAUGUGACCAUACAUUUUCACAUAUUUUCCACUUCCUUUUUAGUUUUUCUUUUUUUUCGUUCACUUUUUUCUUUCUUAUCUUUUUCCUCAUCUUCUUCCUUACUUGACCUAGUUGUUGCUGAAGUCUUUGUGUCGAUCCUUGCCAAAUCCUAACCUAAACCAAAUCCACAAUACCCCAAACUCAAAUCAAUAACAACUCACGAACCCAAAAACCCUGCAACUGGAUUUUAGCACAACUUGUAAAAUAAGGAGAAAAUUAGAAAAUCGAAGAAGAAAAAACGAAAAACAAAAGAGAGAGAGAGGGAGGGUAAAUAGGUUUAGGGUUUUCCUUGAUUCUUGAAACUCGGAGCAUGUACUGUAAGAUCCCAACGGUGAGGAGUUUCCUUGAAUGGUGUUACGAUUGAUUUCUCAAUACGGUUGGAUAGUCAACCACCGAGAUUGGACUAAAAAACUUUGAACAUUGGCUUAUGAUUUUGAGAUUUUUCAGUUCAUUUCAGGAAAAACUAAAUCAGUAGGGGAGAAUAUAUAUACACAUUUUUUAAAAAAUUUAGAAAAAGGGGUGAAGUGAACAAUUUGAUUAACGAUAAUGAUUAAAUUAAAAAUAGAUUUUUGAGUAAUCAUGAUCUUUUAUCUGUAAAGUAAUUUAUUCUAAAAUAUAUAUUAAUAUAAAUUCAAUGGAUCUCAAUUACAUAUGUAAAAUAUAUUUAUAUACAAACAUAAAAUUAAUAAUUAAUAAUUGAGUUAAAUAACUUAAUUUAAUGAUUAUAUUUAUUUUUUAUUGAAGUUACAAAAAUUGAAAAUGGCUUAAAAUAUUAAAAAUUAGUUUAAAAAAUAUAAAAAUUUCGUAUAUGAACAACUAGUACAAGAUUUCUAUAUUUCUCAUAAUUAUUUUUAUUUUCUAGUUACAUUAAGAAUAAAAUAUAAUCAUUAAAAUUAAAUUAUCUAACUUACUUAAUAAUUUUAAAUUUUAUGUUUUUAUAUAAACAUUUUUUUAGAUAUGUAAAUGAGAUAUAUUUGCUUGUAUUUAAUGUAUAUUUUGUUUUAAAAAAAACUAGAAAUUAGGCUAUAAGUAUAGGAAAAAAAUUAAAAACACUAAUAAAUCUAAAAACAAAUAUUUGUAUAUAGCAGUACCUAUGAUAACUUUGGUACUGGUUGUUUAUAUACAAAUAUAAAAUUAUUAAUUAUUAAUUAUGUUAAAUAAUAUAAUUUGAUGAUUAUAUUUUAUUUUAAUGCAAGCAAAAAAAUGAUUAGCAAAAAAAUUCUUUAAAAAUAAAAAAAUUUCUAUAAAAAUUUAAAAUUAUAAUUAUGUGAAAAUUAAUAAAAUCAUAGUCUUAAAAAAUUAAAAAAAAUUGAGUUAGGUUAAAAUUCAAAAAUUAUAAAAAUAUUGAAAUAUCAAAAAGUUCUUUAAAAUUUUCAGAAAGUUUGCUAUUUUAAUUUUUUUAAAUUAUUAAAAAUAUUUUUAAAACUAUAAUUAUGUAUGUUGAUUGAGGUUUAGCUCAAUCUUACUUCUCGAAAGUGUUUUUGGGCCAAUUUUGUCCCAAAAGUACUUUUGAAAAGCUUAAAAGUAUUUUGUUUAACAAAUGUUAAAUUGGUCUUGAGUUUUAGGACUAUUGUUGGUGUGAGUUUGAGUAUAUUAAAGCGCAUAUAGAUUAAAAAGAAACUAAAAAUAGUGAUCAAAAUUUAUAAUGAGUAAUUAUGUAAAAAAUUAAAAUUUCAUAAAAUCUAAGAAAAAGAACCUUCCAAGCCCUUUCACUUUGUAAGAAAAUCCUCUCUCUUUUCCAGCCCAUCGCAUCAAUAAAAAUGGUUAAAUUUUGUACAGAUUUUACUUCAGCCAUUUUAAAUAGGUAAAUAUGUAAACAGGCUACCAUCAAACAAAAACAACAAAAAAACCAAAAGAAUUAUUGAUUUAUUGUUCGACACUGCAUCAAAAUAUAGUAAAUUUCUGAGGUGAAAAUAAAUUAAAAACAAAAAAAGUUACCAUAUUCUAAUCAAUUAAAAGUUCAAGAUAAAGAAAAUUUAGGUUAACAAAUCAAUGGAACUUUAAGUUUUUAGAUAAUUAAAAAUAGGCAAAAAAAAUUAUCAGCACUUCCCAAUAAGUAACUCAAAAAUUAACAUCGGAAUUAAAAAAAUAAUAAUUACCUGAAAGGUCUCAAGCAAUGGCGACGACUUGUUGUUUCAGAGGCUCAAGGAUGUUGUUUGAUUUUUUGCCUGUCUCCAUUUUCUUUACAUGGAUAUACAUGUACGUUGAUGUCACUGUAAAAAAAACAGAAACCAUUUUCAUUUCAUUUGUCCGCUGUGGGUUGAAGUGAUAGAGGACAAAGCUUGAACGGUGGUCCUGUUUUCGACCGGAGAGGAUGUCGGCAUGGUGGUUCAAGUGGCGGAAAUGGGGUUGAAAGCAGAAAGGUUGCUUUUUCAGAAAGUUCAAAGGUUUGAAAGGUUGUUUUUAGAAUUUUGUGAAAUUUUCAAUUUUUUUACGUAAUUAUAGUUUUAAAAACAUUUUUUAUAAUUUCAAAAAUAAAAUAACAAAAUUUCAGAGUUUUUCAAAGAAUUUUUUGAUAUUUUUACA